UGGAUUAUAUUUAAAUAUAAUAUUUGAUUUGCACUCAAAAGGUGUUCAAAGAACUAAUCUUA
RNAcentral lists this transfer RNA (62 nucleotides) under Agnesiella aldera. RNAcentral's name for it is "tRNA-Ala". RNAcentral also lists the same sequence under 2 other names. The record is from RNAcentral. Lineage: Eukaryota; Metazoa; Arthropoda; Insecta; Hemiptera; Cicadellidae.